CGUUCUGUUGCCGAAUUGGCAUCGCCGAUCACAGGCGAAGGUGCGGGUUCGAGUCCCGCUGGAACGU
This is a transfer RNA of Operophtera brumata (winter moth), 67 nucleotides long. It matches the Rfam family "tRNA". From Rfam's summary of the family: Transfer RNA (tRNA) molecules are approximately 80 nucleotides in length. Their secondary structure includes four short double-helical elements and three loops (D, anti-codon, and T loops). Further hydrogen bonds mediate the characteristic L-shaped molecular structure. tRNAs have two regions of fundamental functional importance: the anti-codon, which is responsible for specific mRNA codon recognition, and the 3' end, to which the tRNAs corresponding amino acid is attached (by aminoacyl-tRNA synthetases). tRNAs cope with the degeneracy of the genetic code in two manners: having more than one tRNA (with a specific anti-codon) for a particular amino acid; and 'wobble' base-pairing, i.e. permitting non-standard base-pairing at the 3rd anti-codon position. The record is from Rfam. Lineage: Eukaryota; Metazoa; Arthropoda; Insecta; Lepidoptera; Geometridae.